AGUGAACGCUGGCGGUAGGCCUAACACAUGCGAGUCGAACGGCAGCACAGUAAGAGCUUGCUCUUACGGGUGGCGAGUGGCGGACGGGUGAGGAAUACAUCGGAAUCUACUUUUUCGUGGGGGAUAAGGUAGGGAAACUAACGCUAAUACCGCAUCCGACUAACGGGUGAAAGCAGGGGAUCUUCGAACCUGGGGGGAUUGAUUGAGCCGAUGUCGGAUUAGCUAGUUGGCGGGGUAAAGGCCCACCAAGGCGACGAUCCGUAGCUGGUCUGAGAGGAUGAUCAGCCACACUGGAACUGAGACACGGUCCAGACUCCUACGGGAGGCAGCAGUGGGGAAUAUUGGACAAUGGGCGCAAGCCUGAUCCAGCCAUACCGCGUGGGUGAAGAAGGCCUUCGGGUUGUAAAGCCCUUUUGUUGGGAAAGAAAAGCAGCAGGUUAAUACCCCGCUGUUCUGACGGUACCCAAAGAAUAAGCACCGGCUAACUUCGUG
This 492-nucleotide ribosomal RNA is filed under the name uncultured bacterium. Its description in RNAcentral is "partial 16S ribosomal RNA". It matches the Rfam family "Bacterial small subunit ribosomal RNA", at positions 29 to 507 of the family's 1533-position model. The record is from RNAcentral.